ACUUAAAUAAUUUAAAUAAAAUAUUGAUUUGUGGUAUCAAAAAUAUGAAUAAUUCAUUUUAAGUU
Molecule: transfer RNA, 65 nt
Filed under: Grapholita molesta (oriental fruit moth)
Lineage: Eukaryota; Metazoa; Arthropoda; Insecta; Lepidoptera; Tortricidae
Description: tRNA-His
Source: RNAcentral